RNAcentral lists this small RNA (450 nucleotides) under Pan troglodytes (chimpanzee). RNAcentral describes it as "retained intron". Lineage: Eukaryota; Metazoa; Chordata; Mammalia; Primates; Hominidae. The record is from RNAcentral.
AGAACCAAUCCCCCCACAGGUGGCAAAGGAUGACUGUGCCUAAGAUGUACAGUUGAACCGAAUGUUUUGAUUUAUACUAAGCACUUUAUACUACUAAUUAAUUAUGAGAAGUUUAAAUAAAAUCAUAGGUGCUUGACAUAGCAAAUGAUGAACUCCAUAUGAGUGUGGGUUUUUUUUCAGGUUCCUCAUGCCAUGCACCUGCUGUCACCCAGCAUGCACCCUAUUUUAAGGGUACAGCCGUUGUCAAUGGAGAGUUCAAAGACCUAAGCCUUGAUGACUUUAAGGGGAAAUAUUUGGUGCUUUUCUUCUAUCCUUUGGAUUUCACCUUUGUGUGUCCUACAGAAAUUGUUGCUUUUAGUGACAAAGCUAACGAAUUUCACGACGUGAACUGUGAAGUUGUUGCAGUCUCAGUGGAUUCCCACUUUAGCCAUCUUGCCUGGAUAAAUACAC